GCAUUGGAGGUUCAGUGGUAGAAUUCUCACCUUUCAUGCAGGAGAUCUGGGUUACAUUCCCAGCCAAUGCA
Molecule: transfer RNA, 71 nt
Filed under: Loxodonta africana (African savanna elephant)
Lineage: Eukaryota; Metazoa; Chordata; Mammalia; Proboscidea; Elephantidae
Rfam family: tRNA
About the family: Transfer RNA (tRNA) molecules are approximately 80 nucleotides in length. Their secondary structure includes four short double-helical elements and three loops (D, anti-codon, and T loops). Further hydrogen bonds mediate the characteristic L-shaped molecular structure. tRNAs have two regions of fundamental functional importance: the anti-codon, which is responsible for specific mRNA codon recognition, and the 3' end, to which the tRNAs corresponding amino acid is attached (by aminoacyl-tRNA synthetases). tRNAs cope with the degeneracy of the genetic code in two manners: having more than one tRNA (with a specific anti-codon) for a particular amino acid; and 'wobble' base-pairing, i.e. permitting non-standard base-pairing at the 3rd anti-codon position.
Source: Rfam by way of RNAcentral